CAGCGACGACAGGGGUGCCUGCCCCGAGCGAGGGCGGGCUGAGAUCACACCCUUUGAACCUGAUCCGGUUCGCACCGGCGAAGGGAGUCCGCGCAUGACCUGC
Molecule: non-coding RNA, 103 nt
Filed under: Gemmatimonadota bacterium
Lineage: Bacteria; Pseudomonadati; Gemmatimonadota
Description: Gemmatimonadetes bacterium TPP sequence
Rfam family: TPP riboswitch aptamer (THI element)
About the family: Vitamin B(1) in its active form thiamin pyrophosphate (TPP) is an essential coenzyme that is synthesised by coupling of pyrimidine and thiazole moieties in bacteria. The previously detected thiamin-regulatory element, thi box was extended, resulting in a new, highly conserved RNA secondary structure, the THI element, which is widely distributed in eubacteria and also occurs in some archaea. Analysis of operon structures identified a large number of new candidate thiamin-regulated genes, mostly transporters, in various prokaryotic organisms.
Source: RNAcentral